AUAUUACUAAGCGGAGGAGAAGAAAUUAACUAAGAUUGCCUUAGUAAGGGCGACUGAACCGGCAAAAGCUCGAAAUUAAAAUCGGUAAUUCAAUGAAUUUCCGAAUUGUAAUCAGGGUUGCCUAAAUACGUGAGGUCACUCAACAGUCUCGAAAGGCUGGCCAAAGAGGGUGCAAGCCCCGUGCAGUGAUCACACGAACAAGGGAACUUGAACAAGAGUCGUGUUGCUUGGAACUGCAGCACUAAGAGGGAGAUAUGAUUCUUCCAAAGCUAAAUAUGGAUGGGAGACCGAUAGCGCACAAGUA
Molecule: ribosomal RNA, 304 nt
Filed under: uncultured eukaryote
Lineage: Eukaryota
Description: partial large subunit ribosomal RNA
Rfam family: Eukaryotic large subunit ribosomal RNA
Source: RNAcentral